This 433-nucleotide ribosomal RNA is filed under the name uncultured bacterium. Its description in RNAcentral is "bacterial SSU rRNA". It matches the Rfam family "Bacterial small subunit ribosomal RNA", at positions 56 to 504 of the family's 1533-position model. The record is from RNAcentral.
UGCAAGUCGAACGGAAAGGCCCUGCUUGCAGGGUACUCGAGUGGCGAACGGGUGAGUAACACGUGGGUGAUCUGCCCUGCACUUCGGGAUAAGCCUGGGAAACUGGGUCUAAUACCGGAUAGGACCAUCGUUUAGUGUCGGUGGUGGAAAGUUUUUUCGGUGUGGGAUGAGCUCGCGGCCUAUCAGCUUGUUGGUGGGGUAAUGGCCUACCAAGGCGUCGACGGGUAGCCGGCCUGAGAGGGUGGACGGCCACAUUGGGACUGAGACACGGCCCAGACUCCUACGGGAGGCAGCAGUGGGGAAUAUUGCACAAUGGGCGAAAGCCUGAUGCAGCAACGCCGCGUGGGGGAUGACGGCCUUCGGGUUGUAAACCUCUUUUAGUAGGGAAGAAGCGUAAGUGACGGUACCUGCAGAAAAAGCACCGGCUAACUAC